This 444-nucleotide ribosomal RNA is filed under the name uncultured prokaryote. RNAcentral's name for it is "bacterial SSU rRNA". It matches the Rfam family "Bacterial small subunit ribosomal RNA", at positions 355 to 796 of the family's 1533-position model. The record is from RNAcentral.
UGAGGAAUAUUGGACAAUGGAGGCAACUCUGAUCCAGCCAUGCCGCGUGCAGGAAGACUGCCCUAUGGGUUGUAAACUGCUUUUAUAGAGGAAGAAACCGCUCUACGAGUAGAGCUCUGACGGUACUCUACGAAUAAGGAUCGGCUAACUCCGUGCCAGCAGCCGCGGUAAUACGGAGGAUCCAAGCGUUAUCCGGAAUCAUUGGGUUUAAAGGGUCCGUAGGCGGGCUUGUAAGUCAGUGGUGAAAGUUUGCGGCUCAACCGUAAAAUUGCCAUUGAUACUGCAGGUCUUGAAUCAUUAUGAAGUGGUUAGAAUAUGUAGUGUAGCGGUGAAAUGCAUAGAUAUUACAUAGAAUACCGAUUGCGAAGGCAGAUCACUAACAAUGUAUUGACGCUAAGGGACGAAAGCGUGGGUAGCGAACAGGAUUAGAUACCCCCGUAGUCC